RNAcentral lists this ribosomal RNA (615 nucleotides) under Scheffersomyces tanahashii. RNAcentral's name for it is "partial large subunit ribosomal RNA". It matches the Rfam family "Eukaryotic large subunit ribosomal RNA", at positions 37 to 668 of the family's 3401-position model. The record is from RNAcentral. Lineage: Eukaryota; Fungi; Ascomycota; Pichiomycetes; Serinales; Debaryomycetaceae.
UGCAUAUCAAAAAAGCGGAGGAAAAGAAACCAACAGGGAUUGCCUUAGUAACGCGGCGAGUGAGCGGCAAAGCUCAAAUUUGAAAUCUGGCACCUUCGGUGUCCGAGUUGUAAUUUGAAGAAGGUAACUUUGGAGUUAGCUCUUGUCUAUGUUCCUUGGAACAGGACGUCACAGAGGGUGAGAAUCCCGUGCGAUGAGAUGUCUAACUCUAUGUAAAGUGCUUUCGAAGAGUCGAGUUGUUUGGGAAUGCAGCUCUAAGUGGGUGGUAAAUUCCAUCUAAAGCUAAAUAUUGGCGAGAGACCGAUAGCGAACAAGUACAGUGAUGGAAAGAUGAAAAGAACUUUGAAAAGAGAGUGAAAAAGUACGUGAAAUUGUUGAAAGGGAAGGGUUUGAGAUCAGACUUGGUAUUUUGUAUGUCUUGCUUUCGGGUGGGGCCUCUGCAGUUUACUGGGCCAGCAUCGGUUUGGAUGGUAGGAUAAUGACAUUGGAAUGUGGCACUACUUCGGUGGUGUGUUAUAGACUUUGUUGAUACUGCCUGUCUAGACCGAGGACUGCGUCUUUGACUAGGAUGCUGGCAUAAUGAUCCUAAACCGCCCGUCUUGAAACCACGGACCA